UCCGUUGCCUUUGCGGUCGGGCUACCCUAUAUCUUGUCUGUCGGGCAACCGACUAUGGCGAUAAAUGGCUUACGAAAUAAGCGUUGCGGACCCGGGGGCGGUACCCGGCGCCUCCACCAAUUCACCGCCAGCCGCCGAAUCGCGGCGCUGGCGGCCUACGGGGGCGAAACAGGCUCGACGCGCGUAGUAAAGGUAUUGUUUUCGCCCGGUAUGAUACCACCGUUAUCGGGUCAAAAACUUAGCUGCGAACGAUAACUUCGCACAUGAGGCUCUUGCUGCCUAACCCUUCACGGGGUGAAAUUAGCAGGUAACUCGCGGUUCGAGGGGCACCGGGCAACAGAAGCCCCUCACU
This 352-nucleotide transfer-messenger RNA is filed under the name Alphaproteobacteria bacterium. It matches the Rfam family "Alphaproteobacteria transfer-messenger RNA". From Rfam's summary of the family: Bacterial tmRNA, also known as 10Sa RNA or SsrA, is named for its dual tRNA and mRNA-like properties. Its role is to liberate the mRNA from a stalled ribosome. To accomplish this part of the tmRNA is used as a reading frame that ends in a translation stop signal. The record is from RNAcentral. Lineage: Bacteria; Pseudomonadati; Pseudomonadota; Alphaproteobacteria.